RNAcentral lists this ribosomal RNA (253 nucleotides) under uncultured bacterium. RNAcentral describes it as "partial 16S ribosomal RNA". It matches the Rfam family "Bacterial small subunit ribosomal RNA", at positions 524 to 776 of the family's 1533-position model. The record is from RNAcentral.
UACGAAGGGGGCUAGCGUUGCUCGGAAUCACUGGGCGUAAAGGGUGCGUAGGCGGGUCUUUAAGUCAGGGGGGAAAUCCUGGAGCUCAACUCCAGAACUGCCUUUGAUACUGAAGAUCUUGAGUUCGGGAGAGGUGAGUGGAACUGCGAGUGUAGAGGCGAAAUUCGUAGAUAUUCGCAAGAACACCAGUGGCGAAGGCGGCUCACUGGCCCGAUACUGACGCUGAGGCACGAAAGCGUGGGGAGCAAACAGG